GACGAACGCUGGCGGCGUGCUUAACACAUGCAAGUCGAACGCUGAAGACCUGGCUUUUGUUGGGUUGGAUGAGUGGCGAACGGGUGAGUAACACGUGAGUAACCUGCCCUCUUCUUUGGGAUAACGCCCGGAAACGGGUGCUAAUACUGGAUAUUCACUGAUCUUCGCAUGGGGGUUGGUGGAAAGGUUUGUUCUGGUGGGGGAUGGGCUCGCGGCCUAUCAGCUUGUUGGUGGGGUGAUGGCCUACCAAGGCUUUGACGGGUAGCCGGCCUGAGAGGGUGACCGGUCACAUUGGGACUGAGAUACGGCCCAGACUCCUACGGGAGGCAGCAGUGGGGAAUAUUGCACAAUGGGCGAAAGCCUGAUGCAGCGACGCCGCGUGAGGGAUGGAGGCCUUCGGGUUGUAAACCUCUUUCGCUCAUGGUCAAGCCGCAACUGUGGGUUGUGGUGAGGGUAGUGGGUAAAGAAGCGCCGGCUAACUACGU
Molecule: ribosomal RNA, 485 nt
Filed under: uncultured bacterium
Lineage: Bacteria
Description: partial 16S ribosomal RNA
Rfam family: Bacterial small subunit ribosomal RNA
Source: RNAcentral